UACGUAGGGUGCGAGCGUUGCCCGGAUUUAUUGGGCGUAAAGGGCGCGUAGGCGGUCACGCACGUCCGUUGUGAAAUCGCUCGGCUCAACUGGGCGGGGUCAGCGGAUACGGCGUGGCUGGAGCAAGCUAGGGGGCAAUGGAAUUCCCGGUGUAGUGGUGGAAUGCGUAGAUAUCGGGAGGAACACCAGUGGCGAAGGCGGUUGCCUGGAGCUUUGCUGACGCUGAUGCGCGAAAGCCAGGGGAGCAAACGGG
Molecule: ribosomal RNA, 253 nt
Filed under: uncultured bacterium
Lineage: Bacteria
Description: partial 16S ribosomal RNA
Rfam family: Bacterial small subunit ribosomal RNA
Source: RNAcentral